AGCGUAUAAUGAGCAGUGAGACGACUGGAGGUCACUUUCAUCGCCAUCUUGGUUUUGGUGGGUUUUGGACAGCUUCUUUACGCAUGCUGUUUUAUCAGCAAGGUCUUUGUGACCUGUAUCUUGUGCCGACCUCCUAUCUCAUCCUGUGUCUAGGAAUGCCUUAACCUCCUGGAAUGCAGCUCAAGUCUCGCUGUGUUGCCCAGGCCAGAGUGCAAUGGCAUGAUCUCAGCUAACUGCAACCUCCACUGAGUUCAAGUGAUUCUCGUGCCUCAGCCUCCAGAGAAGCUGAGAUUACAGACGCAUGUAACAUUCGGUGCCGAAACCCAAGACAGGGGACUCCUUCAGGAGACCAGCCCCCUGUCCUCACCCACAGUCCGGGAGGAGAUCCACCUAUGACCUCGGGUCCUCAGACCAGCCCAAGGAACAUCUCACCAAUUUCAAAUUGGGACCCCACUGGAAGUCGGACUGUCCAACUUGGAUUACAGCUGCUCCUAGACCUACUGGAGCAAAAAGCCAAGGCUCCUGGCUGACUUCUUCCCAGAUCUCCUCGGCUUAGUGGCUAAAGACUGACGCUGCCCAAUCAUCUCGGAAGCCCCCUGGACCAUCACGGAUGCCGAGCUUCGGAUAACUCUUACAGUGGAGGACAGGAAUGUCAGGCCUGUGAGCCCAAAGUAAGGCAUCAUAGACCCUGUGACCUGCAUGUAUACAUCCAGAUGGUCUGGAGUAACUGAAGAACCACAAAAGAAGUGAAACAGCCAGUUCCUGCCUUAACUGAUGACAUUCCACCAUUGUGAUUUGUUCCUGCCCCACCCUAACUAAUCAAUCAACCUCGUGACAUUCCUCCCCUGGACAAUGAGUCUCAUGAUCUCCCCACCCUGCACCUUGUGACCCCUGCCCCUGCCCAUAAGAGAUAACCACCUUUAACUGUAAUUUUCCACUACCUACCCAAAUCCUAUAAAACUGCCCCACCCCUAUUUCCCUUUGCUGACUCCUUUUUCGGACUCAGCCCACCUGCACCCAAGUGAAUAAACAGCCUCGUUGCUCACACA
This is a long non-coding RNA of Gorilla gorilla gorilla (western lowland gorilla), 1049 nucleotides long. RefSeq lists it as uncharacterized. The transcript has 5 exons. The record is from RefSeq and is a predicted model, not a curated record. Lineage: Eukaryota; Metazoa; Chordata; Mammalia; Primates; Hominidae.